GGCGGGCGGGGGAACCGGGGUUGCGGCUGCCCGUGCCGGCAGGGCCCGGUGGGGCUGGGCCUUGGCCUUGGCCUCGGCCUCCGGCGGAGCCUGCCCGCGGGGCAGGCUGGCCGACCGAUCGCCAUCUCGGCUGCCAGGCCCUGCCCUGCCCGAGGGGUCGUUGCUGCGACCCCUCCCCAAGUUAGUCCAGUGCCAGAAGAGCUGAAGGAUGAGCUGAAAGACUUGGAAGUGAUGGUUGAUGGAAAACUCAACAUGAGCCGGCAAGUGUGCGCUCUCAAGCCAAAAAGCCAAUCGAACUUGGGCUGCGUCAAAAGCAGCAUUGGGGCCAGCAGGGCGAGGGAGGUAAUUCUGCCUCUCUGCUCUUCUCUGGUGAGACCCCAGCUGGAGUGCUGUGUACAGUUCUGGUGUCCCCAACAUAAGAAGGACAUGCAGCUGUUGGAGCAAGCCAAAAGGAGGCCUCGAAGCUGAUAAAAGGACUGGAACACCUCUCCCAUGAGCACAGGCUGAUAAAGCUGCAGCUGUUCAGCCUGGAGAAGAAAAUUGUGUGGAGACCUCAGCAGCCUUGCAGUGUCUGAAGAAUCCUAGAGGGAAGCUGGAGAGGGGCUCUUUGUCAGAAACUGCAGUGAUAAGACACAGAGUAAUAGGAUGACAUGGUAAGACUUUCCUCCAUCCAUAGCUAAGCAGCUGCUUCUGUAUUUAUGAGAAGCACAGGUUUCUAAAGUGUCCUGUACACAGUGAAUGACACCACACUAAGUCUGGGAGUCCGAAUGGAUGGUACAGCUGUGAGUUAACAGUGUGUCUUUGUCUAGCAAAUGUUAAACCAAACUGUGAAGCUCCUCUGAAUUAUUCACAUCAGGAAUCAUUGCCUCUAAGUGCAUGAACAUUGCCUUGAAAACUUUGAUUGAAGUGUGGCUUUUGUAA
Onychostruthus taczanowskii (white-rumped snowfinch) is the source of this 921-nucleotide long non-coding RNA. RefSeq lists it as uncharacterized. NCBI's taxonomy places the organism in Eukaryota, Metazoa, Chordata, Aves, Passeriformes, Passeridae. The transcript has 2 exons. The record is from RefSeq and is a predicted model, not a curated record.